GGGGGCGAACCGGGUUCGACCGGGCGAGUGAAAUGCGAGUUGCGUGCCGCGGUUGGUCAGCAGGCCGCGUUAAAAGCCGACUAAAAAUUUUAAUUGCCGAACCUAGAAUGGCAAUGGCUGCCUAAGAAAAGGCAACCCCGAAUUCGAUUCUUCGCCGAAGAGAUGAAUAAUUCGGUCGUCAAUUUCGGAUCGUUUUUCGUCAAGUCGAUUACACGAAAAAUUAAACUUUGUUAUCGAAUCGUCUGAAAGAGACCGGCGCCGAUAAGGGCUCUUAACGAUUAAAUUUUAAAUAAUCGGAUAUGCGCGUAGACGCUCUCAUGGAGCUGUCACGGGACGCGGGUUCGAUUCCCGCCGCCUCCAUUU
This 363-nucleotide transfer-messenger RNA is filed under the name Planctomycetia bacterium. It matches the Rfam family "transfer-messenger RNA". Rfam says of the family: Bacterial tmRNA, also known as 10Sa RNA or SsrA, is named for its dual tRNA and mRNA-like properties. Its role is to liberate the mRNA from a stalled ribosome. Lineage: Bacteria; Pseudomonadati; Planctomycetota; Planctomycetia. The record is from RNAcentral.